UUGGCUUAGAAGCAGCCAUCAUUUAAAGAAAGCGUAAUAGCUCACUGGUCGAGUCGGCCUGCGCGGAAGAUGUAACGGGGCUAAACCAUGCACCGAAGCUGCGGCAGCGACGCUGAUGCGUUGUUGGGUAGGGGAGCGUUCUGUAAGCCUGUGAAGGUGUGUCGUGAGGCAUGCUGGAGGUAUCAGAAGUGCGAAUGCUGACAUAAGUAACGAUAAAGCGGGUGAAAAGC
Molecule: ribosomal RNA, 230 nt
Filed under: Salmonella enterica
Lineage: Bacteria; Pseudomonadati; Pseudomonadota; Gammaproteobacteria; Enterobacterales; Enterobacteriaceae
Also listed under: 1 other name
Description: partial 23S ribosomal RNA
Rfam family: Bacterial large subunit ribosomal RNA
Source: RNAcentral